CCUACGGGUGGCAGCAGUGAGGAAUAUUGGUCAAUGGGCGGAAGCCUGAACCAGCCAAGUCGCGUGAGGGAUUAAGGCCCUGCGGGUCGUAAACCUCUUUUGCCGGGGAGCAGUGGUCCGGACGUGUCCGGGCCGGGAGAGUACCCGGAGAAAAAGCAUCGGCUAACUCCGUGCCAGCAGCCGCGGUAAUAAGGAGGAUGCGAGCGUUAUCCGGAGUUAUUGGGUUAAAGGGGUGCGUAGGCGGGCAUUUAGGCCGGGGGUCAAAUGUCGGGGCUCAACCCCGGCCUGCCGUCGGAACUGGGUGCCUUGAGUGGGCGAGAGGUAUGCGGAAUGCGUGGUGUAGCGGUGAAAUGCAUAGAUAUCACGCAGAACCCCGAUUGCGAAGGCAGCAUACCGGCGCUCUACUGACGCUGAGGCACGAAAGUGCGGGUAUCGAACAGGAUUAGAUACCCCAGUAGUC
RNAcentral lists this ribosomal RNA (460 nucleotides) under uncultured bacterium. RNAcentral describes it as "partial 16S ribosomal RNA". It matches the Rfam family "Bacterial small subunit ribosomal RNA", at positions 338 to 795 of the family's 1533-position model. The record is from RNAcentral.